Molecule: non-coding RNA, 32 nt
Filed under: Mus musculus (house mouse)
Lineage: Eukaryota; Metazoa; Chordata; Mammalia; Rodentia; Muridae
Source: RNAcentral
UGAUCCUCUACUGGAGUUCAAAACAGAAAGUC